This 497-nucleotide ribosomal RNA is filed under the name uncultured bacterium. Its description in RNAcentral is "partial 16S ribosomal RNA". It matches the Rfam family "Bacterial small subunit ribosomal RNA", at positions 28 to 507 of the family's 1533-position model. The record is from RNAcentral.
GAUGAACGCUGGCGGCGUGCCUAAUACAUGCAAGUCGAGCGAACAGACGAGGAGCUUGCUCCUCGGACGUUAGCGGCGGACGGGUGAGUAACACGUGGAUAACCUACCUAUAAUACUGGGAUAACUUCGGGAAACCGGAGCUAAUACCGGAUAAUAUAUUGAACCGCAUGGUGCAAUAGUGAAAGACGGUUUUGCUGUCACUUAUAGAUGGAUCCGCGCCGCAUUAGCUAGUUGGUAAGGUAACGGCUUACCAAGGCAACGAUGCGUAGCCGACCUGAGAGGGUGAUCGGCCACACUGGAACUGAGACACGGUCCAGACUCCUACGGGAGGCAGCAGUAGGGAAUCUUCCGCAAUGGGCGAAAGCCUGACGGAGCAACGCCGCGUGAGUGAUGAAGGUCUUCGGAUCGUAAAACUCUGUUAUUAGGGAAGAACAAAUGUGUAAGUAACUAUGCACGUCUUGACGGUACCUAAUCAGAAAGCCACGGCUAACUACGUG